This 64-nucleotide ribosomal RNA is filed under the name Proteus mirabilis. Its description in RNAcentral is "partial 23S ribosomal RNA". Lineage: Bacteria; Pseudomonadati; Pseudomonadota; Gammaproteobacteria; Enterobacterales; Morganellaceae. The record is from RNAcentral.
UCUGCAUGGAGCCAACCUUGAAAUACCACCCUUUAACGUUUGAUGUUCUAACCUAAUAAAAUAA